Molecule: transfer RNA, 73 nt
Filed under: Actinomycetota bacterium
Lineage: Bacteria; Bacillati; Actinomycetota
Description: tRNA-His
Rfam family: tRNA
About the family: Transfer RNA (tRNA) molecules are approximately 80 nucleotides in length. Their secondary structure includes four short double-helical elements and three loops (D, anti-codon, and T loops). Further hydrogen bonds mediate the characteristic L-shaped molecular structure. tRNAs have two regions of fundamental functional importance: the anti-codon, which is responsible for specific mRNA codon recognition, and the 3' end, to which the tRNAs corresponding amino acid is attached (by aminoacyl-tRNA synthetases). tRNAs cope with the degeneracy of the genetic code in two manners: having more than one tRNA (with a specific anti-codon) for a particular amino acid; and 'wobble' base-pairing, i.e. permitting non-standard base-pairing at the 3rd anti-codon position.
Source: RNAcentral
GUGGCCGUAGCUCAGUCGGUAGAGCAUCGGAUUGUGGCUCCGAAGGUCGCGGGUUCGAGUCCCGUCGGUCACC